UUUUAGCCCCGACGGUAAAGGCAUCCUUUUACUGGCUUCUUUAGACAGUAAAAGAUACAGUGUACAGCGGGAAAUAGC
Molecule: non-coding RNA, 78 nt
Organism: Flavobacterium frigoris PS1
Lineage: Bacteria; Pseudomonadati; Bacteroidota; Flavobacteriia; Flavobacteriales; Flavobacteriaceae
Source: Rfam